CGGGUGAGUAAUGCGUGACCAACCUGCCCCAUGCUCCAGAAUAGCUCUUGGAAACGGGUGGUAAUGCUGGAUGCUCCAACUUGACGCAUGUCUUGUUGGGAAAGUGUUUAGUGGCAUGCGAUGGGGUCGCGUCCUAUCAGCUUGUAGGCGGGGUAAUGGCCCACCUAGGCUUCGACGGGUAGCCGGCCUGAGAGGGCGGACGGCCACAUUGGGACUGAGAUACGGCCCAGACUCCUACGGGAGGCAGCAGAG
This 252-nucleotide ribosomal RNA is filed under the name uncultured Gardnerella sp. Its description in RNAcentral is "partial 16S ribosomal RNA". It matches the Rfam family "Bacterial small subunit ribosomal RNA", at positions 103 to 354 of the family's 1533-position model. The record is from RNAcentral. Lineage: Bacteria; Bacillati; Actinomycetota; Actinomycetes; Bifidobacteriales; Bifidobacteriaceae.